UCCCUGGUGGUCUAGCAGUUAAGGAUCUAGCUUUGUCACUGCUGUGGCUCAGGUUCAAUCCCUGACCUGAGAA
Molecule: transfer RNA, 73 nt
Filed under: Sus scrofa (pig)
Lineage: Eukaryota; Metazoa; Chordata; Mammalia; Artiodactyla; Suidae
Rfam family: tRNA
About the family: Transfer RNA (tRNA) molecules are approximately 80 nucleotides in length. Their secondary structure includes four short double-helical elements and three loops (D, anti-codon, and T loops).
Source: Rfam by way of RNAcentral